Molecule: transfer RNA, 953 nt
Filed under: Rhizobium sp.
Lineage: Bacteria; Pseudomonadati; Pseudomonadota; Alphaproteobacteria; Hyphomicrobiales; Rhizobiaceae
Description: 16S-23S ribosomal RNA intergenic spacer
Rfam family: tRNA (bases 208-281)
Source: RNAcentral
CUAAGGAAGCUGUGGAAUUGGUAAGACGCUGAGACAUGUCUCAGAUGAACCUUCCCGUGCUUUUUAGAACAUAGAUCGGAUCAGUCAGAUCACGAUCGAAACGCAAUACACCGCGUAGACUACGGUCACGACGGUAUGGCGAGCUUUCGCCGUCCACGUUUCUCUUUCUUCAAGAAGACAAAAACCGCGUCGACCGGUUCCCCGAAUGGGCCCGUAGCUCAGUUGGUUAGAGCACACGCUUGAUAAGCGUGGGGUCGGAAGUUCAAGUCUUCCCGGGCCCACCAUUUGCUUAUGCAAAUGAGGGUUUGGGAUGAUGGAAUGAGGCUGAUGCGGAACGUUGCCGAACCUGGAUUUAUCCGGGCGAUCGAGCUGAUGGGGCUGUAGCUCAGCUGGGAGAGCACCUGCUUUGCAAGCAGGGGGUCAGCGGUUCGAUCCCGCUCAGCUCCACCAAAUCGAUUGGUGUUGAGACUGACGGCGAUGAUGUCUUCUGAAGAAAAACCAAGUUUGCACGACGCAAUGAGCGUCUGUGCCUGUUCUGCAUAUAUCGUGAAGAGAAGAUUGAUCUGGAGGCUUCCAGGUGUUUUGGACUUAUGUCCGGAACGUCCGAGCCCAGUUCUUAUGAAACCAUGGAUGGCCUAGCCGGCCGGAUAUGGUGGAGGGACUGGAGGUAGGUAGGAAGCUUGUCGCUCUGGGUCGUUGUUGUUUGUCAUCUCUAGGGAUGACAUCUGACGGACGACUGGAUUGCCGUUGCCUGACCGCGCGGUAUCGGAUCAAAUCUCGAGAAGCUGGUCUUAAGACCUGACACAAGCGAGCUGCUCGGCGUAGCUCCAAUAAAGUGAUCAGGUCGAACACGUCGAUGGCAUUGUUGGAUUGACUGGGUUGUAAAAGGUAACCCGGUCUGUUGCUGUUUCUUUGAAACAGGCAACGAGAUGAUGAGCAUUGGCAAUGAGAAC